RNAcentral lists this long non-coding RNA (4875 nucleotides) under Cricetulus griseus (Chinese hamster). RNAcentral describes it as "lncRNA (ENSCGRG00015038464.1)". Lineage: Eukaryota; Metazoa; Chordata; Mammalia; Rodentia; Cricetidae. The record is from RNAcentral.
CUUCAUUUGAGUUCAAUUAAUAAGAUGGUGUCAGGGCAUCAUGCAGACGACAUAAUACAUGAGGAAAAACAACACAACCCCAGUGACAUCUCUGAUUUUUUUUUCCCGACGCAUGAAAACUAUCUUUUCCAACUUCCAAAAGAUGGAAUAAGACACUUAUUUCCAUACAAAAUACAUUUAGGUCCAUGUUUUUCUUUUAAAGGGGCAACUACACCACGUGAAACAUACAUUCACCGAUAGUCUCAAAAUCAUGUCGAUAUGUAUUUGUCCCCCAUUGGGUGUGGGCAUUUCAAUGAUUUCCAUGACAGCAGAAAGCUAAACUCAAAAUACGAUAAAUGUACAUUAUCUUGAUAAUCAUCAGAGGCAGAGACACUUUUCAGAUUCAUCUUUGGGCAUUAUUCUAUAUGUUUUCAUAUAGAGUUGAAAGUUGUUUCACAGUAUAAAAUCUUGAAUGAAUUGCUAACACACCUUGAUUUUUCUGCUUCUUGCUCUGAAAUGUAUUUGGAUCGGAGGUAAGAGACAAAUGACACUGCUCAAAAGAGCUUCUAGAGACCUUGAUGUGCAAAACUUUCAGAUUCAUAUAUUCAAAAAUAAAUUAUUUUUAAGUGAAAUGGGGAAGAGGUUGAGUCACGGGGUAGGGGGACGCCUAUAGUUUAUACUCUGCAUAAAUAGCUUUCAGUGUCUUCCAGGUGGGGGCAACAGUCAGUCAGUUUUGAGAGAAAGGAGGUCAAGCUCUUUAAGCUCCCUGAGUCGAGUCCGGUUACAGAAGAUGAAAAUGACUUCCUGGCAGUAACACUGUGAAUAAAACAACCGCAAGCCUCCAGAAGAUGAGACUUCUGGGCUCAGCUCCAGCCACCAGGCGGAAAGCAGCGGAUCAGCCACCAGUGCGUGCCAGCUUGAGGGAGAACAGAGGCAGCCCUGGACGCGCACGCGCGCUGAGCACCUGCCCAGCACUGCUGGGAUGCCGGUUACGGCUAAGUCGGUCCAGAUGCGCAUCCCUCGGCGUGCGUGCGGAUCCAGGCUGCUUGUCAGUUUCUGGCCUGCCGGGAUCUUUGAGAAGCAGGACGAUCAUUUGCGUUUACAUCUCAUUCAUUCUUCCUUUAGGCAAUUCAAGUCCAUUCACAACUGGUGCGGACUAGGCGCCGGCAAUCCGCUUUCCGCACAUCCUCAGACUUUGGGAAGGGGCAGCCACACAUUCUGGUCAGAGUGAGGUGACGCAUAAAGCAGAGAUCUGGGUAAAGAAAGUAGAGAACAGAAAGACAGAAGCGGGAAACUGAGGCUCCACGUUGACUGAAGUGGUCCAUGGUCACAGAUGAAGCGGGGGCAGAAACCCCAGCGCACUGAGCUCAAGGCCGGGUCCUCCGGGGGCCUCUCAGGACAGGCGGUGCACGGGGAGCCGGGUGUGCUGUCCCUCUACGUGUCGCUCCUCCUGCCGCUGCCUGGAGCUGCGGUCGCCCGAGCCCUGGAGCCACCCCCGCCGCUUCCUGCCGAGCCCGCAGCCGCCCCUUCGGGCCGAUACUUGAGCCAGCAGAUGAUCCAGGUGACGACCACCGAGAAGAGAGCCAGGAUGCUAGCCACUGACAGGCAGAUGGGUCCUACGGGCGAGGGCGAGGGCGAUCCGGGGGCUGGGGCGGGGCCGGGGGACGAACCGCUGCUCGGGGGUCCCCCACCCCCGCCGCCGCCCCCGCCGCCGCCGUAGUGAUUGACGAAGAUGAGGCCGGUGAACAGCAGCACCACCAUGGAGAGGAACGAGAAGACCACGCACACACAGCCGGCGGGCCCAGGCAGUCGUGCAGUGCUCAUCUCAGAGUGGAAGCGUAGAAGCGCAUUUUCCCUUCGCCGUUUGGAGGAAAUUUGGGAACCGGGCGGUAAGAACACUGCACUUUCCAUCCCUAUCCUCUGAAGAUCGCAAGGUGCCACGAGGAAUAGCUGCAGAAACGACUGGGAAGCAAACUCAAGAAAGAAACCAGCAAGAAUUUCCCAGAAGGGCCGGGGAUGCAGCUGAGUGGGGAGAGUGCUGACACGCACGCAGGAAAGCCCAGUGUCAUCCUGAGCACUACAUACAGCAUAAACCUGUAACAAUCCAGCACUUGGGAGGUGGGGGCAGCAGUCUAGAGAUUCUUAGCAUCCUCAACUACAUAUGGAGUUUGAGGCCAGCCAGGGCCUGUCUCCAAACACAAACUAAAACAAAGCAAAAUGAAUUUCUGGGGGAAUUCUAAGUGACUAUGACAUAUCUGGAGCAUUUGAAAAUAAGUACAGUUUUACUCUGUGUGAACAGUGAAAGCAAUCUGUUUUAAGUUAAACUUGUUAAAAACACUAACUUUUUUACUUUAGAGCUUUAUAAUUAUUAUUUGGGACAAUGUAUCUUUUUAAAUAUCUCACUCUGCGAUGGAGACAGUAAUGAGAGGUCCAGUUGAUGGGACAACAAAAAAGCUGUCCUCUGGCCUUGAAACUCAGAGCUAGCUGAGUUUCAAAAGUACUUCUCACUUGUCCACUUUCAGCAUGUGUGUCUCACACACAGUUUCACACUGGAUUCUUUACACUCUGAUUAGGUGUGUGCUAUGCUUGCAAUGUCAAUUAGAACUUGAAAUGGUCUCACAAGAGAGCUAAUGUGGAUGGGUAUGGUUCUUUUCACACACCCAGCUUCAUGCUGAAGAUGCCCAAAAGGUGACUGCAAGAGCUCUGAAGACAUGUGUGUUAGGAUAUAAUGUGUACUUGGGUAAAACACUUAAGCUUUAGCAGUUAUAGCCGGCAGUGCAUUCUCACCUUACACCAGGGCUUCUCAUACCAGCACUACUGACAUUUUGAACUGGUUAAAUUUUUAUUGCAGGUGCUGUUCUGUGCAUGGCCAAAGUUAAAUGGUGUCCUUGGCCUCUACUCAUUUGAAGUCAAUAGCAAAGCAUCCCAAUUUAACAACCAACGUUACCCCCUGAGGACAAAAUUAUCCCUGGCUACGACUUGCACAAAGACCACAGAUUUGCUUUAAGUGAGAUCUGAACCAGAUCUUCCAGCUCCUAUCUAGUAUAUGCAAGCAGGGUCCCCAAGGUAUUUAUCACAUCGUGAUAGGUCAUGGUGGUUUAAGUCCCAAAGCACAGAAUAAUCUUUGAAAGACACUGUUAUAAUUUUUGUGAAUACUUUCUAUAAACAAGUACAGGACUUUGGCUAACAAUGACAGAACUUACUGUGUUUGAGUAGGUUUUGUUUUUUGUUUUGUCUUGGGUAGACAGUAUCCCACACUAUAACUCAGGAUGACCUGGAACUCACUAGCAACAAACACAGCAAUCUUCCUCUGUUAGCCUCCCAAGUAUUGGAAUCACAGGCAUGAACCAGCACACACAGUUUGGAUAGUGUUUUGAGGGGAACCCAACACUUCAAUUAUUUUAUAUCUUGGGGACAGAUGUUAAUUUCUAGGACUCAUAAGGUGUUUUAUAAAGACUUCCUUGGAACAAUGGGGAGGGUUGGUGACAUCUAGAGACCUAGUGGACUAUAAUGCCCAGUCCAGUCAUGUUGCUUCCAAGAGUAAGCAUGGAAGCUUGGUCAUGUUGGGGAACUGGACUUUCCCUGGGAAGAAAAUGUGUUGAACUGGAACUUAAGUUGUCAACGAAUAGUUCAUUAUUCAUUCUAGGAUUUGAAUUGGCUUCACCAGAACACUACUCGUAUCUUGAACAUAUUAGAUACUAUUUGCUGGAUUAUUUUAUUUUUGAGGACCCAAGGAAAUGGGAAACAGCCAUGCUCUCUAACUAUCUCUUGUCUAUGGUCCUUCCCUUGGCUACCUAAAGAAUGUUCUAGUUUCAGAAGUCUCUGUCUCAACAAAAGGUUUAAGAGAUUUUCAUUCACAGAACAUGUGCCUUGGCAGUUCCAGAUCCUAGGUUGGCUUUUCACCUUUUGUGUAUUUGUAGGCUACCUUUUCUGUGCCUUGGUUCCCCAAACUAAAAUUUGGACAAAAGUACUUACUGUGUAGUUAUUUAUUGCACAUUGUAAGGAUCGGAUGUGUUGUGUAUGUAACAUGAAAUAAUAGGCCCUGGGCACUGGUAACACUCAUUAUUAUUUAUGUUGGGGUUCCUGUAUGCCUUCUAGGGAUCCUCACAGGCAUUUGUGAGGAUCUCUAGAUCAGUGUCCUCAGUGUCUGUGGGACCCAGUCCAAAGUGGAGCAGCCAAAGGCAAUGGGGCAGAUGUCAUCCAGUUCUUCUGACAAUCAAAGUUGAGACACAGGUAGCAUCCCAGCCACAGGACCAGCUUUCCUCUGAAGUCAGCCACACUCCACAGAUCUGCCAGCUGUAAUAAACAAAGCCCUUCAUAAAUCCUCAGGGCCAAGUGAAAUCUCAUUGUUCAUAUUGGAGGGAUAGAUGUCUAGGCAGAUAAAGCUACUCAGAAUCAAGUAUUAAAUCAUUCCAUCAAAUAGUUGACAUUUUAAAAUAGAAACCAGGUCGAUGAAAUUCAGCAUUUGCCCAGGUCCUGUUUCAGAAGGCAUUGAAACUGGUGAGGAUGCCUGGCCUCUAGCAACCAAGAGUUCAAUGGAAGAGUCCAAGGAAACAGACUGAGCUGUGACUAUCCUAGAGGAGACAAUGAGACAGAAAAAGGGCACUGGGGACAACCUAAGGAAAUUUGAAUAAAGUCGAUUUUAGUGAACAAUAAUGUAUAAAAAUGGGUCUUUGGUUAUGAUAAAUAUAGAAUAUUAAUGUAAGGUAUAAAAACAAGAAACUAGGUGUGGUGAUUCUGAGGACACUGGGAAUCUUUGCAAGUUUCUGUAAGUCUAAAACUAUUCUAAAAUAUAAGUUUAAUUUUCAUUGUAUAGAUUUCUGGAAUUGUUUUUGUUGGCUUUGCAAUACUGUAACAAAAUUGCUGAGAUAACCAAAUUAUAAAGGACAAAGGCUU